GUCAGGAUGGCCGAGAGGUCCAAAGCGCUGCGUUUAAGUCGCACUCCACUCUCUGGGCAUAGGUUCGAAUCCUACCCUUGACA
Molecule: transfer RNA, 83 nt
Filed under: Schistosoma margrebowiei
Lineage: Eukaryota; Metazoa; Platyhelminthes; Trematoda; Strigeidida; Schistosomatidae
Rfam family: tRNA
About the family: Transfer RNA (tRNA) molecules are approximately 80 nucleotides in length. Their secondary structure includes four short double-helical elements and three loops (D, anti-codon, and T loops).
Source: Rfam by way of RNAcentral